Molecule: ribosomal RNA, 245 nt
Filed under: uncultured bacterium
Lineage: Bacteria
Description: partial 16S ribosomal RNA
Rfam family: Bacterial small subunit ribosomal RNA
Source: RNAcentral
UAGGGAAUCUUCGGCAAUGGGGGCAACCCUGACCGAGCAACGCCGCGUGAGUGAAGAAGGUUUUCGGAUCGUAAAGCUCUGUUGUAAGUCAAGAACGGGUGUGAGAGUGGAAAGUUCACACUGUGACGGUAGCUUACCAGAAAGGGACGGCUAACUACGUGCCAGCAGCCGCGGUAAUACGUAGGUCCCGAGCGUUGUCCGGAUUUAUUGGGCGUAAAGCGAGCGCAGGCGGUUUGAUAAGUCUG